Molecule: long non-coding RNA, 447 nt
Organism: Hyla sarda
Lineage: Eukaryota; Metazoa; Chordata; Amphibia; Anura; Hylidae
Exons: 3
Source: RefSeq, a predicted model, not a curated record
AAACUACAAGUCACCCUUAUACCCUCUCCAUAGGGUCCGUCCAUUACUGAUCACCAUUUGUCUCCUGACAUGCUCGGCCACCAUUCUCAGUCUUUGGUUCUUUCAAAAAGGAUAUGGACACUUCUGCCCCCUAGUGACCAGAUGUAUCCUUCCUGAGAUUGGCGAGAAUCACAUGACAUCUGUGCUGAUGCAAUGACGCCCAAAUAAAAAGCAGACAUCCAAAGAUGUGGUACCAGUGAAGCUGCAGUAAGAGUUCUGUAACAGCGACUGAAAAGGACAAAAAGCAAGAGCAUUACAGGAAUAUCCAACAGAUGUGCGUGAUCAAGUACAGUUAUCCCAAGGAGAAAGUAGAAGCCGAUUCCAAGACAAUAAUGGGCAAGAUGGAUGACUCCACUGGAGUAGACACUCACAUAGAAACACUCAAACAAGCGUUUAAGACUGUGUAUC